This 473-nucleotide ribosomal RNA is filed under the name uncultured bacterium. RNAcentral describes it as "bacterial SSU rRNA". It matches the Rfam family "Bacterial small subunit ribosomal RNA", at positions 8 to 493 of the family's 1533-position model. The record is from RNAcentral.
AGAGUUUGAUCAUGGCUCAGGACGAACGCUGGCGGCGUGCUUAACACAUGCAAGUCGAACGGUGAUCCGGGUACUUGUACCUGGUGAUCAGUGGCGAACGGGUGAGUAACACGUGAGUAACCUGCCCUCCACUCUGGGAUAACUCCGGGAAACCGGGGCUAAUACCGGAUAUGACGCCAACCCGCAUGGGUAUGGUGUGGAAAGUUUUUCGGUGGAGGAUGGACUCGCGGCCUAUCAGCUUGUUGGUGAGGUAAUGGCUCACCAAGGCGACGACGGGUAGCCGGCCUGAGAGGGCGACCGGCCACACUGGGACUGAGACACGGCCCAGACUCCUACGGGAGGCAGCAGUGGGGAAUAUUGCACAAUGGGCGAAAGCCUGAUGCAGCGACGCCGCGUGAGGGAUUAAGGCCUUCGGGUUGUAAACCUCUUUCAGCAGGGAAGAAGCGAAAGUGACGGUACCUCAGAAGAAGCNC